UGGAGGUUCGCUAUUUCACAGCUUGUGUGUAUGAGCUUUUUGGAGAUCUUUCUGGAGGCCCCAGCAGUGCCACAUUUCACGAUCAAGAUGUGCCAUUGUGGAAGAAGAGCUUGCCAUCAAGUCAGCCAACUAAGGCUUUAGUUCCACUUCUUCUCUGGGCGCCUAGAAACCAGAUUGGCUAAUCUCUAAGACCACAGUAAUCGUGGGAGUGUAUGUUGGGAUGGAGAAACCAAAAAAUCUAAGCAGUGUGGAAAACUGUGCCAACACGUGGAGAACAGCAACCCUGCCCAGCCUUCGAGAUCUGCUAAAGACUUUGAGU
Panthera uncia (snow leopard) is the source of this 319-nucleotide long non-coding RNA. RefSeq lists it as uncharacterized. The record is from RefSeq and is a predicted model, not a curated record. The transcript has 3 exons. NCBI's taxonomy places the organism in Eukaryota, Metazoa, Chordata, Mammalia, Carnivora, Felidae.